UACAGAGGUCUCAAGCGUUGUUCGGAUUCAUUGGGCGUAAAGGGCGCGUAGGCGGCGCGGUAAGUCGGGUGUGAAAUCUCGGAGCUUAACUCCGAAACUGCAUUCGAUACUGCCGUGCUUGAGGACUGGAGAGGCGACUGGAAUUUACGGUGUAGCGGUGAAAUGCGUAGAGAUGUGGAGGAACACCGGUGGCGAAGGCGGCCCACUGGAUCGGUACUGACGCUGAGGUGCGAAAGCGUGGGGAGCAAACAGG
RNAcentral lists this ribosomal RNA (253 nucleotides) under uncultured bacterium. RNAcentral's name for it is "partial 16S ribosomal RNA". It matches the Rfam family "Bacterial small subunit ribosomal RNA", at positions 524 to 776 of the family's 1533-position model. The record is from RNAcentral.